AUUGAACGCUGGCGGCAGGCCUAACACAUGCAAGUCGAGCGGAGCGGCGGACGGGUGCGUAAUGCCUAGGAAUCUGACUGGUAGUGGGGGAUAACGUCCGGAAACGGGCGCUAAUACCGCAUACUCUCAGAUGAGCCUAGGGCGGAUUAGCUAGGUGGUGGGGGAAAGGCCUACCAAGGCGACGAUCCGUAGCUGGUCUGAGAGGAUGAUCAGGCACACUGGAACUGAGACACGGUCCAGACUCCUACGGUAGGCAGCAGUGGGGAAUAUUGGACAAUGGGCGAAAGCCUGAUGCAGCCAUGCCGCGUGUGUGAAGAAGGUCUUCGGGUUGUAAAGCACUUUCAGCGGGGAGGCGUUACCCGCAGAAUAAGCACCGGCUAACUUCGUGCCAGCCGCCGCGGUAAUUC
RNAcentral lists this ribosomal RNA (407 nucleotides) under uncultured bacterium. RNAcentral describes it as "partial 16S ribosomal RNA". It matches the Rfam family "Bacterial small subunit ribosomal RNA", at positions 30 to 526 of the family's 1533-position model. The record is from RNAcentral.